This 588-nucleotide long non-coding RNA is filed under the name Athene cunicularia (burrowing owl). RNAcentral's name for it is "lncRNA (ENSACUG00000015110.1)". The record is from RNAcentral. Lineage: Eukaryota; Metazoa; Chordata; Aves; Strigiformes; Strigidae.
GAGGAGCCUCAAAUAGGGGGACACUGAGAACCUAGGACAUUACAUUGGCAUUGCAUGGUGUGUCCCAACCCCUCGCUAAUAUGCUGAAGUACGUAACACAUGGAGCAUGUUUGUCUGAUUCUCAUUUUCUGCUGUGUUUUUGUUUGUGACUUUCCUAAUUCUCUUUACUUUUGAUUUUAGUAGGUGAACAAGUUGGGGCUCUGAAAGCAAUUCUGUGGCACAGAAGAUUUCUUGGAAGCUAGGUCAGGAGAAAAUAAAUUCCAGUGCUGAUGAAGCUGACAAAUUCAAGUACAUUCUUCAAAAUAGCAUUUUUCUCUGGCAAUGUAAUUUUAGUUUGGAGUACAGCAAUAAUUGAAUUCCUGGGACUGAUACAGGGUGACCACCAAGAAGAAAAUCAAGCUCUUGGAUAACAAUACUGGGGCAGUUUUGGUCCAUUUUGAUUUUGCUGUGAGGGUGUUGUGAACUGUAAAGAAUUACUCUAAGUUGUAGUAUGAAAUUCGAUGUUACUUGUUGAACAGCACAUUAAACUUAAUUAUCUAAAGUUUUCCUGUGUUAACAUUAAUAAAGUGUGUGGAGUGGAUUAUUUCA